RNAcentral lists this ribosomal RNA (252 nucleotides) under uncultured bacterium. RNAcentral's name for it is "partial 16S ribosomal RNA". It matches the Rfam family "Bacterial small subunit ribosomal RNA", at positions 29 to 310 of the family's 1533-position model. The record is from RNAcentral.
ACGAACGCUGGCGGCAGGCCUAACACAUGCAAGUCGAACGCCGUAGCAAUACGGAGUGGCAGACGGGUGAGUAACACGUGGGAACGUACCCUUCGGUUCGGAAUAACUCAGGGAAACUUGAGCUAAUACCGGAUACGUCCGAGAGGAGAAAGAUUUAUCGCCGAGGGAUCGGCCCGCGUCUGAUUAGCUUGUUGGUGAGGUAACGGCUCACCAAGGCGACGAUCAGUAGCUGGCUGAGAGGAUGAUCAGCCA